GACGAACGCUGGCGGCGUGCUUAACACAUGCAAGUCGAACGAUGAAGCCCAGCUUGCUGGGUGGAUUAGUGGCGAACGGGUGAGUAACACGUGGGUGAUCUGCCCUGCACUCUGGGAUAAGCCUGGGAAACUGGGUCUAAUACCGGAUAUGACCUCUUGCUGCAUGGCGAGGGGUGGAAAGUUUUUCGGUGCAGGAUGAGCCCGCGGCCUAUCAGCUUGUUGGUGGGGUAAUGGCCUACCAAGGCGACGACGGGUAGCCGGCCUGAGAGGGCGACCGGCCACACUGGGACUGAGACACGGCCCAGACUCCUACGGGAGGCAGCAGUGGGGAAUAUUGCACAAUGGGCGAAAGCCUGAUGCAGCGACGCCGCGUGAGGGAU
Molecule: ribosomal RNA, 380 nt
Filed under: uncultured bacterium
Lineage: Bacteria
Description: bacterial SSU rRNA
Rfam family: Bacterial small subunit ribosomal RNA
Source: RNAcentral